This is a long non-coding RNA of Brassica rapa (field mustard), 1113 nucleotides long. RefSeq lists it as uncharacterized. NCBI's taxonomy places the organism in Eukaryota, Viridiplantae, Streptophyta, Magnoliopsida, Brassicales, Brassicaceae. The record is from RefSeq and is a predicted model, not a curated record.
UUCCAUAUACACUAAACUUUACUAUACAUACAAUACUCUAAAUAUAAACUUCAAAACUAAAAUUUGAAAAAUUUAACUACAAAUCUUAGACCUAAUAUUCAAAUCUAAUAUUUUCAUACUCUGAUCCAAAAUCUUAAAUCAUAGUCUUGAUAUUAAUCAAAUUUUCAAACUUAAACAUCAAUUCUUAAAAUAAAUAUAAACUUAUUAUGUUCAAAAAAGAAAACUCUAAACUUAAAUUAUAAACUCGAAAAUACAAAAUUUAUAUAUAAGAUAUAACUAAGAAAAUUUACUUAGAAAACAAAUUAUCAAAUAUUUAAGAACAAAACAAAAAUAAAAAUAGAAAAAGAAAGACAAAAUUUCUGGCCAAUCAGAUUCAAAUACAUAGAUCACACUCUUAACCAUUGGAUUAACUUAGAUCUAAAGGUAGAGAUUUAUUCAAUUUUAUUUUUAUUUUUUUCUUCUCUCUCUCUCUCUCCCUCUCCCUCUCUCACAACAGAUCUCAUAUCAUCUCCUUCUCUGCUUUUUUUUCUUUCCCGAUUCUCUCUUCUCCACUCUAACCUCUCAUUCUCAUAUCUCAUAUAUCUCUUCUCUCUCAUCUCUCUCAACGCCUCUCUCCCAUCUCUCUCAACGCCUCUCUCGUCUCACCACCACCGCGUCUCCUUCUCGUCUCACCACCACCGCGUCUCCUUCUCGUCUCACCACCACCGCGUCUCCUUCUCGUCUCACCACCACCGCGUCUCCUCCUCGUCUCACCACCACUGUUUUCCCCCUUGUGUCACCACCACCACGGUCGACGUGGAGGAGCCAAGGUUCAUGGCGGCUGGAGGAAGCAAGGUUCAUGGCGGCUGGAGGAAGCAAGGUUCAUGGCGGCUUGAGUAUACAAGUCUCGUGGCGGCUGGAGGAAUCAAAGUUCAGGGCUGCUGGAAGAGGGACAAGGAUAUGGAGGAGGCGGCAGGAGUUUUUUCUUUAGGUUUAGGUUUUUUAGGUCUGGUUAAGUGUCCUAAAUUGUAGUGGUCUGAUUUUAUUUUUUAAUUUCUGGUUUAGUUUUGUAAACCAGAAUUAAUCUGUAAACCAAAUUUAAUUUAUUAAUAAAAUUUAUUUUAUUUUCAGUUA